RNAcentral lists this ribosomal RNA (492 nucleotides) under uncultured bacterium. Its description in RNAcentral is "partial 16S ribosomal RNA". It matches the Rfam family "Bacterial small subunit ribosomal RNA", at positions 29 to 507 of the family's 1533-position model. The record is from RNAcentral.
AGUGAACGCUGGCGGUAGGCCUAACACAUGCAAGUCGAACGGCAGCACAGUAAGAGCUUGCUCUUACGGGUGGCGAGUGGCGGACGGGUGAUGAAUACAUCGGAAUCUACUUUUUCGUGGGGGAUAACGUAGGGAAACUUACGCUAAUACCGCAUACGACCUACGGGUGAAAGCAGGGGAUCUUCGGACCUUGCGCGAUUGAAUGAGCCGAUGUCGGAUUAGCUAGUUGGCGGGGUAAAGGCCCACCAAGGCGACGAUCCGUAGCUGGUCUGAGAGGAUGAUCAGCCACACUGGAACUGAGACACGGUCCAGACUCCUACGGGAGGCAGCAGUGGGGAAUAUUGGACAAUGGGCGCAAGCCUGAUCCAGCCAUACCGCGUGGGUGAAGAAGGCCUUCGGGUUGUAAGGCCCUUUUGUUGGGAAAGAAAAGCAGCAGGUUAAUACCCCGCUGUGAUGACGGUACCCAAAGAAUAAGCACCGGCUAACUUCGUG